This 323-nucleotide ribosomal RNA is filed under the name uncultured eukaryote. Its description in RNAcentral is "partial 18S ribosomal RNA". It matches the Rfam family "Eukaryotic small subunit ribosomal RNA", at positions 1470 to 1796 of the family's 1831-position model. The record is from RNAcentral.
CCCUUAGAUGUUCUGGGCCGCACGCGCGCUACACUGACGAAUGCAACGAGCUUAUAACCUUGGCCGAAAGGUCUGGGUAAUCUCCAAAUUUCGUCGUGAUGGGGAUAGAUUAUUGCAAUUAUUAAUCUUCAACGAGGAAUUCCUAGUAAUGGCGAAUCAUCAGUUCGUCGUGAUUACGUCCCUGCCCUUUGUACACACCGCCCGUCGCUCCUACCGAUUGAGCAAUCCGGUGAAUAUUUCGGACCGAAUAUCUGCGGGGCAACCCAUGGACGUUUGGAAAGUCAAGUAAACCUUAUUGCUUAGAGGAAGGAGAAGUCGUAACA